This 502-nucleotide ribosomal RNA is filed under the name uncultured bacterium. RNAcentral describes it as "partial 16S ribosomal RNA". It matches the Rfam family "Bacterial small subunit ribosomal RNA", at positions 30 to 523 of the family's 1533-position model. The record is from RNAcentral.
AUUGAACGCUGGCGGAAUGCUUUACACAUGCAAGUCGAACGGCAGCACGGGUGCUUGCACCUGGUGGCGAGUGGCGAACGGGUGAGUAAUACAUCGGAACGUACCCAGUUAUGGGGGAUAACUAACCGAAAGGUUAGCUAAUACCGCAUACGCCCUGAGGGGGAAAGCGGGGGACCGUAAGGCCUCGCGUAAUUGGAGCGGCCGAUGUCUGAUUAGCUAGUUGGUGAGGUAAAGGCUCACCAAGGCGACGAUCAGUAGCAGGUCUGAGAGGAUGAUCUGCCACACUGGAACUGAGACACGGUCCAGACUCCUACGGGAGGCAGCAGUGGGGAAUUUUGGACAAUGGGCGAAAGCCUGAUCCAGCCAUUCCGCGUGAGUGAAGAAGGCCUUCGGGUUGUAAAGCUCUUUCGGCAGGGAAGAAACGCUCUGGGAUAAUACUCCGGGGUAAUGACGGUACCUGAAGAAGAAGCACCGGCUAACUACGUGCCAGCAGCCGCCGUAA